This 266-nucleotide ribosomal RNA is filed under the name uncultured archaeon. Its description in RNAcentral is "partial 16S ribosomal RNA". It matches the Rfam family "Archaeal small subunit ribosomal RNA", at positions 716 to 982 of the family's 1478-position model. The record is from RNAcentral.
ACAGUCACUGACAUUAGAUACCCGCGUAGUCCAGGGUGUAAACGCUGCAGACUUGGUGUUGGGGGCCCUUUGGGGGCAUUCAGUGCCGGAGAGAAGUUGUUAAGUCUGCUACUUGGGGAGUACGUCCGCAAGGAUGAAACUUAAAGGAAUUGGCGGGGGAGCACCGCAACGGGAGGAGCGUGCGGUUUAAUUGGAUUCAACACCGUAAACUCACCAGGGAAGACUGUUACAUGAAGGCCGAGAUGAAGACUCUGCUAGAUUUUCAG